Molecule: transfer RNA, 76 nt
Filed under: Deltaproteobacteria bacterium
Lineage: Bacteria; Pseudomonadati; Myxococcota; Myxococcia
Also listed under: 2 other names
Description: tRNA-Gly
Rfam family: tRNA
About the family: Transfer RNA (tRNA) molecules are approximately 80 nucleotides in length. Their secondary structure includes four short double-helical elements and three loops (D, anti-codon, and T loops). Further hydrogen bonds mediate the characteristic L-shaped molecular structure. tRNAs have two regions of fundamental functional importance: the anti-codon, which is responsible for specific mRNA codon recognition, and the 3' end, to which the tRNAs corresponding amino acid is attached (by aminoacyl-tRNA synthetases). tRNAs cope with the degeneracy of the genetic code in two manners: having more than one tRNA (with a specific anti-codon) for a particular amino acid; and 'wobble' base-pairing, i.e. permitting non-standard base-pairing at the 3rd anti-codon position.
Source: RNAcentral
GCGGGCGUAGCGCAGCUGGUAGCGUAGAAGCUUCCCAAGCUUUUGGUCGCGGGUUCGAAUCCCGUCGCCCGCUCCA